This is a long non-coding RNA of Tigriopus californicus, 1392 nucleotides long. RefSeq lists it as uncharacterized. The transcript is spliced from 2 exons. NCBI's taxonomy places the organism in Eukaryota, Metazoa, Arthropoda, Copepoda, Harpacticoida, Harpacticidae. The record is from RefSeq and is a predicted model, not a curated record.
GUUUGGUUCAUCUGUGACAUUCUAUUUUUGCCAAACCUGCUCAUCCCUAUUCCCUUGCAGUCGAGGGCAGAAAUUUGCAACUGCAGUUUCUCCAACCCAUGCUGCGUGCUCGUCAGUUGUGGGCGAAUGCAUGUGCAAAGUGCAAGCAAAAAUUGCAGGGCCCAGCCAGGAAGACAGAACAAACCCAGAGGAGCUCAAAGGGUUGGGAGAUUGGAUCAUUCCAUUCUUCCCCAAUCGUUGACUUUAAGUUUCGCAAGACACAAUUCAGCCUAAGGUUCCUUAAAAAAACUGAAUCAACUCCUACGUCUACCUAACCCGAUCGAAGCCUUGGAACUCUUCAAUUUUGGAAGACCGUUUCAUGGGUCCUGGAACCGUUCCACAUCAAUAAACCUGCGAGAAGAGCCCGCAGGUCAUUAGGCAGUCAUUCCACAUCCCACUAGUCUAUUAACCAAUGAUAGAUUAUUAAAGAAUUAAGCCAAGUUUCCUCCCCGACGAGCGGCGAGAAGAAUGGAAUGAUCCAAAACAAAACAGCGCCAAGUGCAUCGGCCUAGUCAAGAUGAUUGUGAUUGCUGAUGGCUUGGAGUCCUCCAACAUCAUCAUCAAUGGCAAAUCUUCCCCAAAAGGCGAUUACCAACCACGUUCUGCCGAGAGUGUGGCCGGGUUAGUGCAAAACCCAUCAGACGUCUGCCUGUCUACAAGUCUCAGUUUAACAUUGGUCGGUCAAUAUCAAGAUGACACUCAUCCAACGGGAAUCCUUGACUAAUGAAACUGCUGACCCUUGGAUUAAUGCCACGGUUCAUCCCGCCAACCAUGAACCAAGAAAACACAAUUCUCCCUUGAGAGGUGUAUUGGAACCUGUAUAGACUGUGGGCUCACUCGUGUUCUCCGGCUGCCUCUAUUGCUUCGCUCGCUCUGAGGUUUUGUUAUUUAUGAUGCGUCGUCGAUCGUACUAUCAUCAUCCAUCCAGCCAUCGAGCAGUUCCGAGCUAGCUCUCAGACUGUCUGCAAUUUUGCAUGGUGCGACUGCAGACGAUGCAGGCGCAAAAAGGCAGUGAAUGGCGAAGAGACGACGUCUCAAACUGCAAGGGUCAUCGAACUGCUUCUUGUGCCACAAGAGUUCUCGAUUCAGCCACAAUUGUUGCCUGAAAAUAAAUACACCACAUGAGCAACGGUUGAAAUAGCUAUUUCAUCCGAUCCUCUCAUCCCAAGGUCGGAUUAGUCGUUGGAAACCAUUGACAACAGAAAAAGAUGCCAUUAUGGACAAUUAAUGAAACACCAUUGUCAUAUUGUAGUAUAAUAGAACGAUGGAAUGAAAAAGCAAUGUAUCAACGACUAACACAGGAUUACGAUUCGACUAGGUUGCGUGAUUGUGAAUAAAAGUUCCCCUCUUUUA